GGGGGCUGAUAGUUCCUUGACCCACCUGGUAUCCAAGGCUCGAGAUGGCACUGGUUUUGGCAGAGCAGUGCUCCAAGCUGCACGGCUGUGAACUCUGAGCCCAUCUCCAGAGACACUGCUUGAGAGUCACCUAGAAUGGAAUCGACAAGAGCAAGCACUCGAAGAAGAAAAAACAGUUACCUACCUUUCAUAACUGUUGUUCUUCAAGACGUGUUGCUCACAUCCAUUCCAUUAUCCGCCCUCCUGCCCGUCUGUCAGAGUUACCGGAAAGAAGGAACUGAGAGGCCAGUGGCGCCUGAUAUACCGAUGCAUGAGCACAGCACUCAAGCGGCGCCACUGCCGACCCUAUGGAUACUGUAAGGCAAAAUCUCUGAUGACCACGCACAUGGGAACACGCACACCUAGAAUGGAAUGAACAUGAGCAACACAUCUUAAGAACAACAGUUAUGAAAAGACCAUGUGACUCAGUAACAGGAAUUGCUGCUGAAAAGUACUUGGAGAUGAUAUAAAAGGAAUGAAAUAAACUGGUCAACUUACUUCAAAAUGAUGCUGACAAUGUUUUGGAUGAGUUACUCUGCCAGUCAGUCAUCACA
This is a long non-coding RNA of Chelonia mydas (Green sea turtle), 593 nucleotides long. RefSeq lists it as uncharacterized. The transcript has 3 exons. Lineage: Eukaryota; Metazoa; Chordata; Testudines; Cheloniidae. The record is from RefSeq and is a predicted model, not a curated record.